Astatotilapia calliptera (eastern happy) is the source of this 1618-nucleotide long non-coding RNA. NCBI's taxonomy places the organism in Eukaryota, Metazoa, Chordata, Actinopteri, Cichliformes, Cichlidae. The record is from Ensembl.
UGGGUGUUCAAGAAUAUUCUGGAGCUCCAUAACAGCUUCUUAUUUUCAAACACUCUUUAAAUGCAAAAUAAAAAUCUCAGAAAAAAGACCACGGCAGCUUUUUGUCUUCUUUCCUCUCAUAAAACAACCUCCACAUUCGUCAGGUGACCCUACUGAGGGCUCCGACCCAUAUGUUGGGAACCACUGUGCAUGCAGACGGCUCCAGCUGUGAUGCAUCAUCAGGCAGCAAAACAAAGUUUGAAGUUUUGGAGGAAAACAGUUUGAGCUGCUUGCAGAAGCUUUACUUCUUUACUGAUUUAGAGCUUCUGACAGAAGGCAGCAGACGACACUACAUUUAAUGUGACCUCCUAACCAUCCUACUACAGCUUUAACUACAACAUGAAUAAAUAUUUCAUAACAUUUUAAUUCAAAUAUUUUUCUCUUUUCUUGGAAAUAAUUUUGGAUUUUUGACCUUGACGAGAAUUUUUCUCAUUUUUCAUUUUUUACAAAUCAAAUAAUCAGCUAAGAAUUAUUCAAAUGAGAAUAUUAACAAUCUAUAAUUAAGAAAAUUCAUCUCUGGGCAGGGUUUGCACAGAAGGAGUACUUGUACUUUGCGGUAUUACUACUUGAAUAAUCUGACGGCUUCCUGCACUGCUGGAUAAACAGGAGGUUAAAUAUUUCCGCCUGUGAUCUCGUCUUAUCUCUCCUCCAGCAUCUGUCGCCCUGCAGCAGCCCCCCGGCCGCCGUCACUUCACAGUUUAAAGUGUUUUUUUAAAAAGUAAAAGAAAACCACCCGAAACACUUAUUUCAGUGUAAUUCCGUGUCUGACACAUUCAGGUAAAAGUGCGUAACCUCCUCACAGCUUCCUGUCCUCCCCCCUCCCUGCUGCAGAGGUGGGCCGUUCCCUCUGCUCUGCUCCUGUGUGGGACGAACCAUCUGAGAGCUGCGGGGGUGCUGCUGCUCUGCUGCGUCAGACCACCUGCUGAGGCUGCGGCCGACAUGACUGAACACAGAUCAGAUCCUCCUCCGUCCUUCAGGCUCCGUCAUGUUCGACUCGCUGUAACACACUGACGGCAGACAGCUGCAGCUGCUGUGCACAGGCCGUCUUAGAUCAUUUUGACCUCCAUGUUUAAACUAAGACUUCACACUCUACAGCUGGUUUGGGCUGAGUUGGUAUCUGGAGCUGGAGAUGUGAAAGAACGUAGAUGCAGUAGAUGCAAGCUGACGUCUCAGAGUCCUCUUCUUCUUGAUCCUUCCUGUAAAGAGAAACUCAUAUGAUCAAACACACAGCAGCAGCUUCAUUAACAGCUGUGAGAGAAAGCCUGGGAGACGUGCUCUGGCCCUUUACUCGAUUUCAAAUACCCCAAAAUACCCAAAUAUUGACAGAAGUGUAAAAAUUACAAGCACUCAUUAUACAAGCUGGUCCAUUCAUGUUGUCGUUUUGGUGGUUAUUAAUAUUUUUUCACAGGCUUUGACACAAACGUGAUUCCCUUUCUGCUCGGCUGAUGCUGUAAAAUAAAUGUAUCAAACUUUAAAAUGAAGAUGACUAAAGACUGUCUAAGGAAGCGCAUCAUAUCAGAGUUUAUGAUGUUUCCAUGCGACUCAUCUGGGUUCACAUCAGGAGCUAAAUGCACGGAGG